This 2706-nucleotide long non-coding RNA is filed under the name Trifolium pratense (red clover). RNAcentral's name for it is "long non-coding RNA (TPRA_LNC000119)". The record is from RNAcentral. Lineage: Eukaryota; Viridiplantae; Streptophyta; Magnoliopsida; Fabales; Fabaceae.
AUUGAGACACCUACCUUGCAAGUUGUAAGCACAACACAACACACUAUCUUCCUUCCAUUACUUUCUAGUCACCAAGGCUAAUAAUUUUCUCACUCACCACUCUCUACACUCAAUAGUAAAAUGGGAGGAAACAAUCAAAGAAAGUCUAAAUCUUCAUUCAGGUCUGUUUUCAACAUUUUCAAAUCUAGCAGCAACAAGCAAAGAGGGUAUGAUUAUUAUGAUGAUGGCGCAAAGCAACGGAACAAAGUGUGGCCAAGUGAUGAAGAUAGAGGCAGUUGGGGUGUAGCUGAUCCCGUUAUUGACAUGAGAGCUACAGCUUUCAUUGCACAAUACAAGAAACGAAUUUCUGAGUCUGAAAUUCAUUGGCAAGCUCAACCUGAGCAGUAGGAACAUACAAGCUUAUCUGUUUAUCCAUUUUUAAUAAUUUGUUUGUACCUCUCUGUUGUAAUUAGUUAUUGAUUACCAUUUGUGAACCAUGAUAUAAGUAAUGUUAAAUAUGUUAUGAAUAAUAAUCUUUGAAGUUUGUUUUCCCUUCAUGACUUUUUCUUCCAACAACAUAAUUUAAUUCUAAUGUAGAGAACAAUGCAAAUUAUUCAGAUAAAAUGUUUCUGUAGUAAGUUACUUAUUUUUUUGUUUUUGCUAAAGAACUUCAUUAAGGUUAAUCAAUGGUUUAAAGGGCUUAAUUGUUUCAAUCAUUAUGCAUGGUCUUGCUUAUCCCUUUUUAGGCGAAGUUAAUGAUCGAAAUCAUUAACUUUAUCCUCCAACCAAUGCACAACUCUGCAUGGCUUCCUUGCUGAUAAUGAUAUCUCUUAAGACUGUUAUAUAUUGAGUAAUGAUAUUCGACAGAGUUUUUUCCUAUACCUGCGACACUUGGUUAUUCACUUCGAAAAAUAUGGUUAAAUUAAGUUGAUAGUUAAAUCAAAUCAUGAUCGAAAUUGUUGUUAAUUCAAUUAUAUGUUAACAAUCUACUUGAUUGAAAUACAAUUUUGGACGUGAUUAACCAGAUGUCGCAGAUGUAGGGAAAAUUGGGUGUACAUGAAAUUUUGUUGUUAUAUAUUUAUGGAAUAUGAUCUAUAAUACAAAUACUACACAUUCUACAUCUUGAGAGCGAAAGAAAUAGAACGAGAAAGUUGGUAUGUUAGUGAUAUGAUAGGAAGAGAAAGAUAGAGAAAAAAUGAGAUAUCAAAUGAAUGUUAGACAGUUAAGAGUGCAGUCCUAGAGUUUUCUUAUUCAUCACGUCACUGUUGUUAUCUGUUUCGGCUUUAGAAGGGUCAGGAGCAGAGUUUGAUUUACCAAAACAUAAAAUAUGGACGCAGUUGUGAAUAACGUCACAACUGCGGCCGUUGCAAUUGUGGACACUGCAACUGUUAUAAUUACUAAUUAGCUGUGAGAUGUUCUUUUGACAUGUUCUUAAGCUACUGAUUUUCACUAUAACAGUUUUAUAAUGUUAAUUAUAUGCUCUCAUAUCUUGCUGUGAGAUGUUCUUUUGAGACAUAAUCAAAUCUGAUGUCUAGCUUAGUCUUAUACUCCAAAUUUUAAAUGAUUUAGAUAUUUAUCAGAUAUUUUAGUUUGUUCUUUUUUUGAACAAAAAGAUAUUUUAUUCUAGAAUUUGUAAGUUAAUUAAAGACAGAAAGACCAUAGUACUAGCUUAUUUUAUUAUUAAGUAAUAUAUAGUAAAGAAAAUUUUUCUGAAAAAAUACAGCAAAGAAAGUAACACAGCUGCCAAUAAUACUUUAAUUAGUAAAGGAAUGAACAAAGGAAGAAAGAGAAUUUGAAUGCCUACUCUCAAUUAGUUAGAAAUCAAAUCUGAUAGGUAUCUGUCUAGUUUAAGAGGUGUGUAUUGAAAAAAACUCAAGUUGCAAGUUGCACAUAUAGAAUGUAUAAAGCCUUAAAUGAGUUUAUAAUUAACAGUAGCACAUCAACAAAAUCAUUGAACAAGAAACACAACCAACACAUCAAUCAAAGAAACCAUUGGACUAGAGAAAAUGUGCCUUUGUUUGUCAAAAAAGUUGAACCAAAAUUUACUGUUCCAUGUGAUCUUGUUUAAACCAUGAAUAUUGGACUCACUCACUCUAGUGGUUUGCAUCAGAUUCUUUGUCUUAGUUAACAAAAGGAGUGUUUAGAAGUAAUUAGUACCAUAUAAAUUGAGACCCCUAGCUUCCAAAUUGUAGCACAACACAACACACUUCCUUCAAUACUACUUUCUAGUCACUAAGGCCAAUAAUAUUCUCACUCACCACUCUCUACUCAAGUAGUGAAAUGGGAGGAAACAAUCAAAGAAAGUCUAAAUCUUCAUUCAGGUCAAUUUUCAACAUUUUUAAAUCUAGUAGCAACAAACAAAGAGGGUAUGAUUAUUAUGAUGAUGGUGCAAAGCAACGGAACAAAGUGUGGCCUAGUGAUGAAGAUAGAGGCAGUUGGGGUGUUGCUGAUCCUGUCAUUGACAUGAAAGCUACAGCUUUCAUUGCUCAAUACAAGAAACGAAUUUCCGAGUCUGAAAUUCACUGCCAAGCUCAACCUGACCAGUAGGAAGAAACAAAUUUAUCCAUUUUUAAUUUCUUUCUUCCUCUCUGGUGUAAUUAGUUAUUGAUUAUCAUUUGUGAACCAUGACAAGUAAUGUUUAAUAUGAAUAAUAUUUCAUGUUUCAUUAGAGUAUUGAAUUAUUGAUUCCAAUGUAGUGAACAAGUGCAAAGUAUGCAAUGCAGAUAA